GAGAAGGAGGAAGGAGGAGAGAAUAGUGCCAGAGCCAGAAUCAAGAGGCAGAUGAUUAAUUUGUACGAAGAAAACACGUAAUUUCAUUUGCAAGUAGCCGCCGAGCACUCUUCAAGCUUAGAAGGAACGUGUGACGGCCUGGACAUGCCCAACGUGCUCCUCAACUCGUCCGAGAACACGAUGAAAAGUCGGAAACAGCCGGCUAACAGUAGAGGGCGACUGCUGUCUCCCGACCAGCAAGUCAAGAGAGCUCGACUCCAUGCCCCACCUCUAGCAGAUCCUUGCGACAAUUCCAAUGACUCUGGGUUUGGUGUUGAUUUUCUUGAGGAUGAAUCUCUUUGCGGAAUUCCCCGACCGACGACAUCUGACAACAGCAUUUCCUUGGUUGUUCUUUCCCAGCCAGAAAGUCAGCACAGAGCUCGAUAUCAAACUGAGGGCAGCAGAGGCGCAGUCAAAGAUGCGAGUGGCCAAGGCCACCCGGUGGUUAAGCUUGAAGGAUAUGACGGACCAGCAACAUUGCAAGUGUUCAUUGGUGUCGAUGAUGAGCACUCUGUGAACCCCCACUUGUUCUAUCAAGCGUGCAGAGUGAGUGGAAAAACGGCAAGCCCGUGUGUGGAGAACUGCGUUGCUGGAACGAAAGUUCUGGAACUCACAUUCUGCAAGGAAAAUCAAUUUAAAGUUAUUUGUGACUGUGUUGGAAUUCUAAAGCAACGGAAUGUUGAUGUGGCGCAAAGAGUUGAAAAUUCUGGGGCCCAAAAAUCCAGGAAGAAGAACACAAGGUGUCGGCUAGUUUUCCGGACUCGAGUCGAGCUGCCAAAUGGAAUGACUGAGACUCUGCAAGUGAUGUCAAAUUCAAUUGCAUGCACACAACUUCCUGGUAUGCCAGAAAUACUCAAAGUGUCAAAGACGUCAGCACCAUUUACUGGUGGAAAAGAACUGUUUGUGCUUGGCAAAAAUUUUCUCAAAGACACCAGGGUGAUAUUUCAGGGGAAUGGUUGGAAUCAUGAAGUAGUUCCUGACAAAGAAUACUUGCAACCGACUCACUUGGUGUGCACUAUUCCGCCAUAUUCAGGUCCUUCAACUGUAUCUGAGACUGUAGAGAUGUAUGUUCGAUCAAAUAAUCGUCAAAGUGAGGCCAUCCAAUUCACUUAUAAUUUACCAGCCAUCAAGACACCAAGCUGAAUGCGGAAGCAACGAGAAAUAUGCAUCUUCUUAAGUCAGCCCCGAGGACAACAAUUCUGGUGAAGUAUCAAACAUAUUCGCAACAGCGCCCUUCGCCACAAAUUUCUUAACUACUUUAUUUCUCCAAUGUGGCGCAGGGGUAGCUUCAUAUUUCAAAGACCACAACCUGCAAGGCUGCCCUUUUGACGGGACGGACAAGUAAUUAACUCGUAAUGAUUUAGAAGGGGCCUAGCAGGUUGAGUGGAAAUUGGCCUAUGAUUGUGGAUUGGCUUCAUGGACUAAUUUCAAAAUGACGGAAAAGCAGGUUUUCACUAUGUUGCAGGCAUUGGCAUCAGUGCCUUAGCGUUCAGUUUUAUGGAAAACCUACUUUGAGCGAGUGAAAAGUGUGGCUUAUUAUUUAUUUAUACAUGGCUCUGGAACAGUGGAGUGAUUCGGGGGGAGGGGGGAGUCGAAAAAUUUCCUGCGGUUCACCACACCUGCAAUCCAAAAUUUGAUCAAUCUUGUGUUCAAACUUAUCUUCUCUUGUGGUGUGUGGGAAAUUUUAAGUCAGCCAUUCAGACUUUCCGCGUUACUUUGUAACAAGCAAGCUCAAGCUCACUUGAAAGAUAUGAAUUAAUUUUUGGAAAGUUUGUUUCUGUAUCUCUGCCUCACCCAAGCAUACUGUGAACUUAAUAGAAAGUACUUAAGUUUUGCCAAAAGUAAUGGGUGGACGCUGAGUGACGGUGGCUGUUGCGAAUGGCAGUACAGACUGCAGGGAGCAUGUGCACAAAAUUACCCAGAGCUGAGGAAAUGAAUGCUCACCUCCCAAACUUUUGACCCUUGCAUUUGAGCUCCUUUCAGUCUGUCGGAGAAAAUGAAUGAAUGAAUGUAGACUUUUCCAUAGCCAUGUUUUUAAUCAAACAUCCCUCCAGUGCCAGUUUUCUAAUAACAAUUUUUAUCCCCAGAUGGCAGAUGGGGACAACAGACUGCGCAGCCACCCCCAGAAAACAACGUUGCUGACCUGUUGCAAGACCUCAUGACCACUGAGACUUUGCCUACUCAGAGUGUUUCGAGUGUUGAGAAAUUUCUUCACGACAUAGAGCAACAACCAGCACCCG
This is an RNA transcript of Cloeon dipterum, 2279 nucleotides long. It is a transcript of the gene named NFAT nuclear factor, with no coding region annotated. Lineage: Eukaryota; Metazoa; Arthropoda; Insecta; Ephemeroptera; Baetidae. The transcript is spliced from 10 exons. The record is from RefSeq and is a predicted model, not a curated record.